Molecule: transfer RNA, 23 nt
Filed under: Pittosporum tobira (tobira)
Lineage: Eukaryota; Viridiplantae; Streptophyta; Magnoliopsida; Apiales; Pittosporaceae
Also listed under: 1 other name
Description: partial tRNA-His
Source: RNAcentral
GGAUUGUGAAUCCACCAUGCGCG